UAGAAAAACAUUAUGAAACUAUUUUUUAUGUGAGUCUCAAAAUACGUGCAAACAAUGUAAAAAAUCUGCUGAGAACAGGUAAAAUCAGAAUAAAAUUUAUCAAACACAAAAUCUCGGUUUUUGUAGAAGAUCUCGUCGACAUAAAAAAUCUAGAAAAUGUGAAUCAACAUCAUAAAUCGUUACGUGAAAUUUCCACGGUUGCCUAGCACCAACCUCAUAUUGAAGUGCUUUUAAGACCUGACCCAACUCGAAAUCAAAGAAAUUGGUUGAAUCUUGAAUGUAAAAUGACACAAAGGUGCGUCAGAACUAAGAACUCAACCAGUUUUUCAUAUUAGGAGGUCAUCCAUGGCAGCCUGCAUAGGAUAUGUUUCCACGUUUGUUCGCAACAAACUAUCCUAGCAUGUUGUCAUCGAUUAACGUGGCUUCAAACCUGUGCGGCGGUGCCACCUUUCGGAUUUUUAAAUAUAUCUUUAUAUUUAUAUAAAGGAGGUUCCUCCCACGCUGACGUGGCAGGCCCCUGCAGCCUUCUUUCAAAUUCUGUGAUUUUCUGGAUUUUUGCUAUUUAAUAAUCACAAUUUUUUAAAAUUGCAUAUUUUUUUAAAGCUAGCUGAAGAGUUACUGGAUUCAUGACUUUUUAGUGUCCUGUAUAUCAAACGCCUUGAUAAACCCCGCAGCAUCGAAAACCCCUUCGCCCAACUCGGCUCAAUCUCUCUCAAACUUCAAAGAUGCAAUCGCAGCCCUACAGCAAAGCGCCCGAGACAGAGAGAGAGAGACAGGAGAUGAUUGUAUAUUGGGUCGCCACAUUGAUUUGGAUAUACUGAUAAUCUCUUUUUUCCUCUCAAGCUUACAAAAUUUUGUCAAUGUUUUUUUUAUUGUGAUUCAGUGUGCUGGAGGUUCAUAUGGAGCUGGCAAUGCUAUGCAAGAUGAAAUUUCCAAGGAUCAUCUUAAGCAUGUCUUGGAAUAUCGAAAAUCUGUACUCCAGAAAGAAGAGGCGAUGGCUUGCAUUAAUCAGGUUUUAUUCUUCCAGUUUUUUUUUUUUGGCCUCCCACUUCCUUCAUGUAUAUUUCACGGUUAUUGUAAAAAGGGUCAUAUGUUCCGGUCCAUUUCUGCAAGUAUUAUAGAGACAAGUCUAUAAUGUAGUUAUUUGCAAACUUCUGGCCUCCUGAACUCGAAAUUGAAAUUUUAUUUGGCCUAUGAUUUUUUGAGAAGAUGGCAUAUGGGAAUGGCCUCAAGCUCUGCUGUUCAUGAUUCCUCAAUUGCGGGGCAUUGAGCCUCGGUUCUCUGAGGGGCAUGAUCAGGUUAUGUGGAUUUCGAAAGAAGAAAAGCAAGUAAAUUUUAGUAUUAAUCAAGUCUGGGAGGAUAUUAGGCUGAGAAAUUCCAAAGUGAUAUGGUGGCAUUUGAUUCGGUUUGCUAAAAGUAUUCCUAAACAUUGUUUCACUUUUUGGCUAGCUGUCCGGGAUCGACUGCUUACGCAAGAUCGCCUUAAAUUUUGGCAAAUUCAUAGAAGUGCUGCGUUUAGUUUUUGUGGAGGUCUUGGAUAAUUUGUUUUUUCAGUGUGGUUUUUGUCUUAAUGUAUUAAGGGCUUUUCAAUUGAGAGGUUAUUGUUUGUUGUACAAAGGGUGCUGGGAGGAGUUUAUUCGAGCUUCAGCUGUUACUUGGCAGCAGGGGCGUCUCCAGGAUUUCGGAGGCCCUAGUAAUAUACUACAAAGAAUCAAAAAUAUGUAGUAUCUAGUAUAGAAAAUUAAUUUUGAAUUAAAAAUCUCAAAGUAGAGAAGAAUUGAAGAGAUCACUAUAUAUUAUCUUUGCUGGCAUGCUGCUCUGGUUCUAUAUCUGCUCAAUUGAGCGUAUUAGGUUUUCUACUUUUUGGAUAUAUUAAAGACUUAAAGUGAUUUAAAAUAUUGAAAAACAUUAUAUUUUAUUGGGCUUUUAUCUAUUUUUUAUUUUAUUACAUGAGCCUAAAGUUAAAUGACUGUAUAUAUAGGAGGCCCCUGUAUGGAUGGAGGCCCUAGGCAAAUAGAUGGGAAGACUCCCCCUGAAGACGCCUCUGCUUGGCAGGGUAAAUCGUUGCAUGUUUUGGUCAAUGAACUGGUUUUAGCAUCUAUAAUACUACUCCAUCUCUGGCAUGAACGAAAUAGAAGAUUAUUUGUGGGGCAGAUUAUUCAGUUGUUAAUUCUCCGAGGGUGAGAGAAGAGAUGUUAAGUUGGGGUUUAAAUCCUGAGCUCCUUUCAAUCCAAUUGUGUUGAUAUGGAGGACUUUAUUUUUCUGCUGGAAAUUCGCUCUAGGAGUCAAGGACAUAAUUCUGGUCUGUAUGUCUGGGAUUUUGUGUUUGUUGUUGCUUGUUGGAUUUGGCUGUUGAGAGUUAUAUUUUGCUAUAAUUUUUGGGUCUUAACGUGCUAUUUAUUAGAGCACUGUCGUAGGUUAUUGGGUCUGCAGAUCUCAGUUUGCUUGCAAGGUCUUUCUCAGUCACCUCUUUGGAAUGCUCGAGCUUUUUUGUUUGGGUGCCGAUGUCGUUGCUACGUUUUGGAGUUCUUUAGUCUGGGAGUUUCUGGCUUGGUGUUGCUGUUGUAAUCUGGGUUUGUUUAAUUUGUAUGGAAGUUGCUGUUUUAAGUUGGGAGUGUGGUACAGAUUUAGGAGUGAAUUUUGGUUGUUGUUGUUCGUGUGUUUGGUUGUUUUCCGGAUGAAGGUUUUAUUGGCAGGGGAUGUGGUUUUUGCUUUGCGGCUGGGUGUGUGUUUUAUAUCAGUUUCCUGCUGCUGUCUGAAUCUAGGAUUUUUUCCAGUUUGCAUCACAGAGGUUAGUUGCAGAUGCUGCAGGUAGAAGGUUAUGGUUUUUAUUCUGUAGGCUUGCAGCGAUCAGACGUUGUACUGGCAGUGUGGUCCUGUCUUCCUAUCUUAUUUCGGCAAAUCUGUUGGUGCCUGAAUUGGGUGGGGAUAGCAUUUACCUUGGGUUGUAAUAUUGGUAAGGGAUUGCCGUGGCUUAUAAAGUUUUUUAAUUGCUGAAUGGGUGCGGUUAUUUAUAUUGAUUUGUCUCGAAUUUUAAUUUAUUAUAUACUUUUCAUUGUGAUCA
Daucus carota subsp. sativus is the source of this 3064-nucleotide long non-coding RNA. RefSeq lists it as uncharacterized. The record is from RefSeq and is a predicted model, not a curated record. Lineage: Eukaryota; Viridiplantae; Streptophyta; Magnoliopsida; Apiales; Apiaceae. The transcript is spliced from 2 exons.